GACGAACGCUGGCGGCGCGCCUAACACAUGCAAGUCGAACGAGCGAGAGAGAGCUUGCUUUCUCGAGCGAGUGGCGAACGGGUGAGUAACGCGUGAGGAACCUGCCUCAAAGAGGGGGACAACAGUUGGAAACGACUGCUAAUACCGCAUAAGCCCACGGUGCCGCAUGGCACAGAGGGAAAAGGAGCAAUCCGCUUUGAGAUGGCCUCGCGUCCGAUUAGCUAGUUGGUGAGGUAAUGGCCCACCAGGGCGACGAUCGGUAGCCGGACUGAGAGGUUGAACGGCCACAUUGGGACUGAGACACGGCCCAGACUCCUACGGGAGGCAGCAGUGGGGAAUAUUGCACAAUGGGGGAAACCCUGAUGCAGCGACGCCGCGUGGAGGAAGAAGGUCUUCGGAUUGUAAACUCCUGUUGUUGGGGAAGAUAAUGACGGUACCCAACAAGGAAGUGACGGCUAACUACGU
Molecule: ribosomal RNA, 465 nt
Filed under: uncultured bacterium
Lineage: Bacteria
Description: partial 16S ribosomal RNA
Rfam family: Bacterial small subunit ribosomal RNA
Source: RNAcentral